GACGAACGCUGGCGGCGUGCUUAACACAUGCCAGUCGAACGGAAAGGCCCUGCUUUUGUGGGGUGCUCGAGUGGCGAAAGGGUGAGUAACACGUGAGUAACCUGCCCUUGACUUUGGGAUAACUUCAGGAAACUGGGGCUAAUACCGGAUAGGAGCUCCUGCUGCAUGGUGGGGGUUGGAAAGUUUCGGCGGUUGGGGAUUGACUCGCGGCUUAUCAGCUUGUUGGUGGGGUAGUGGCUUACCAAGGCUUUGACGGGUAGCCGGCCUGAGCGGGUGACCGGCCACAUUGGGACUGGGGUACGGCCCAGAGUCCUACGGGAGGCAGCAGUGGGGAAUAUUGCACAAUGGGCUGAAGCCUGAUGCAGCAACGCCGCGUGCGGGAUGACGGCCUUCGGGUUGUAAACCGCUUUCGCCUGUGACGAAGCGUGAGUGACGGUAAUGGGUAAAGAAGCACCGGCUAACUACGUG
Molecule: ribosomal RNA, 468 nt
Filed under: uncultured bacterium
Lineage: Bacteria
Description: partial 16S ribosomal RNA
Rfam family: Bacterial small subunit ribosomal RNA
Source: RNAcentral